RNAcentral lists this ribosomal RNA (270 nucleotides) under uncultured bacterium. RNAcentral describes it as "partial 16S ribosomal RNA". It matches the Rfam family "Bacterial small subunit ribosomal RNA", at positions 58 to 339 of the family's 1533-position model. The record is from RNAcentral.
CAAGUCGAACGGACUAUGAGGGCUUGCUCUUAUAGGUUAGUGGCGAACGGGUGAGUAACGCGUGGGGGAUCUGCCCCUGGAGUGGGGAACAACAGUUGGAAACGACUGCUAAUACCGCAUACGCCCUGAGGGGGAAAGGCUUCGGCCGCUCUUGGAUGAUCCCCGCGUCUGAUUAGCUUGUUGGUGAGUAACGGCCUACCAAGGCGACGAUCAGUAGCUGGUCUGAGAGGAUGAUCAGCCACACUGGGACUGAGACACGGCCCAGACCCC